Molecule: ribosomal RNA, 103 nt
Filed under: Haemophilus quentini
Lineage: Bacteria; Pseudomonadati; Pseudomonadota; Gammaproteobacteria; Pasteurellales; Pasteurellaceae
Description: partial 16S ribosomal RNA
Rfam family: Bacterial small subunit ribosomal RNA
Source: RNAcentral
ACUUGAAUUGAAGAGUUUGAUCAUGGCUCAGAUUGAACGCUGGCGGCAGGCUUAACACAUGCAAGUCGAACGGUAGCAGGAGAAAGCUUGCUUUCUUGCUGAC